GAGUAACACGUGACUACCUACCCUCGAGUGGGGGAUAACCCCGGGAAACCGGGGCUAAUACCGCAUAACAUCGCAAGAUCAAAGGAGCAAUUCGCUUGAGGAGGGGGUCGCGGCUGAUUAGCUAGUUGGUGGGGUAACGGCCCACCAAGGCGAUGAUCGGUAGCCGGCCUGAGAGGGCGCACGGCCACACUGGAACUGAAACACGGUCCAGACUCCUACGGGAGGCAGCAGUGGGGAAUUUUGCGCAAUGGGGGAAACCCUGACGCAGCAACGCCGCGUGGAGGAUGAAGUCCCUUGGGACGUAAACUCCUUUCGACCCGGACGAUAAUGACGGUACGGGUGGAAGAAGCACCGGCUAACUUCGUGCCAGCAGCCGCGGUAAUACGAGGGGUGCGAGCGUUGUUCGGAAUUAUUGGGCGUAAAGGGCGCGUAGGCGGCGCGGUAAGUCACCUGUGAAAUCUCCCGGCUCAACUGGGAGCUUGCAGGCGAAACUGCCGUGCUCGAGUGUGGGAGAGGUGCGUGGAAUUCCCGGUGUAGCGGUGAAAUGC
RNAcentral lists this ribosomal RNA (548 nucleotides) under uncultured bacterium. Its description in RNAcentral is "bacterial SSU rRNA". It matches the Rfam family "Bacterial small subunit ribosomal RNA", at positions 108 to 689 of the family's 1533-position model. The record is from RNAcentral.